Picea glauca (white spruce) is the source of this 123-nucleotide non-coding RNA. The record is from Rfam. Lineage: Eukaryota; Viridiplantae; Streptophyta; Pinopsida; Pinales; Pinaceae.
AUGUACAUUCCUACAACACAAUGUUAAUGCAUCGGAUCCCAUUAGAAAUUUGCAGUUAAUCGUGCUUGGGAUAGAGUAAUACGGGGAUGGGUGACUGCUCGGGAAGUGCUAUUAUUUUGCAUG